CCAGGCAGAAAUAACACAUGUGACCCCAAAUUCUUUGUGAUGUCAUAAGGAGUAUUCAUGAAAGCGUAUCUUGGGAAGGCUACGCCUAUUUGGGACUAUGUCAAAGAAGAGUAGAGAGGAAGAGAACGCAAGACUGAAAUGUUAUCAAGAAGGAAAUGAGCAACAGCACAAGACUCAAAUACCACGAAGGAAAUCUUGGAAAUCUUUGAGCCCUUUAAUCCUCUAGGGAAGGAGAGCUGUGAGGCUAGACUCCUCUUGGUUUUUCAUUUACCGCAAUGAAACUUGGUGGAAGUUCAUCCAGAACUACAGGGUUGUGGUUGUUAAUUCAUCAAUGGAAGCAUCAAUUUGUCACUGAAAAGAAAAACAAAUGUCAUGGGAACAAGAUAAAGCUUAUGUAAACUGAAUAUAAUAUUUCUUAAUAGGCUGCUUUCUGCAGCACCAAAUGGAGGUUAUUAUCUACCUCAGGAGGGAUAAGACCAACACAGCAGCCGCCGGGGGGAUUCGUGAGCUGUAAGAAGAUUGUGCCUCUGCUUAUCUCAGAAAUACUUCAUAUGCAUUUUCUUAGCUUGAGAAGUCAAGCUGAAUUUGAUUAAGCACAUGUCUACACAUCACACAAACCCACCCCUACUACAGAAGAGCGUGGAAACUGGAAGAAAAAAAAAGCCAGACACUUCAUGGUGUGAAUCAACUUCUUUCCAAAUGACACAUCCAUUUGAAAAGGCAUAAAUCUUGAAUUUGUUUUCUGGAUAAUGUUUCUUUCUAAUUUCAGUUUUGAUUGUGAUGUAAUGGGUUGGAUCUACAUUUCAAAGCUCGUGAAACCAAGUUUAACUCCAGGACUCUAAGGAUGGAAUCUCCUUUUAUGGACCCAAAUAAAGAACAGUGUGCUGGAUUAUUA
Mesocricetus auratus (golden hamster) is the source of this 895-nucleotide long non-coding RNA. RefSeq lists it as uncharacterized. NCBI's taxonomy places the organism in Eukaryota, Metazoa, Chordata, Mammalia, Rodentia, Cricetidae. The transcript has 2 exons. The record is from RefSeq and is a predicted model, not a curated record.